Molecule: ribosomal RNA, 606 nt
Filed under: Vetulina sp.
Lineage: Eukaryota; Metazoa; Porifera; Demospongiae; Sphaerocladina; Vetulinidae
Description: eukaryotic LSU rRNA
Rfam family: Eukaryotic large subunit ribosomal RNA
Source: RNAcentral
ACCGUUUUGNAAAANGNACCAAGGAGUGCAACAUGCCCGCGAGUUUUNGGGUGAGCUGAAAAAGCCCUGUGGCGUAAUGAGAGUGAAGUCCUGGCUUGCACGGGACGAGGCGAGAGCCGUUGUCAAGGUUGGCGGCCCAUUGUNGACCGAUCCCAAGCCACGCUGUGGUGGGAUUNGAGUGAGAGCGUGCCUGUUGCGACCCGAAAGAUGGUGAACUAUGCCUGAGUAGGGUAAAGCCAGAGGAAACUCUGGUGGAAGYUCGUAGCGAUUCUGACGUGCAAAUCGAUCGUCAAACUUGGGUAUAGGGGCGAAAGACUAAUCGAACCAUCUAGUAGCUGGUUCCCUCCGAAGUUUCCCUCAGGAUAGCUGGAGCCCGGAGCAGUUUUAUGAGGUAAAGCGAAUGAUUAGAGGUCUUGGGGCUGAAACAGCCUCAACCUAUUCUCAAACUUUAAAUGGGUAAGAAGCCCGGCUUGCUUGGCUGAAGUCGGUGCUGGAAUGCGUGGGCUCUCAGUGGGCCAUUUUUGGUAAGCAGAACUGGCGAUGCGGGAUGAACCGGACGCCGGGUUAAGGUGCCCGAAUCGGCGCUCCUCAGACCCCAUGAAAGGU